UACGAAGGGUGCAAACGUUGCUCGGAAUUAUUGGGCGUAAAGCGCACGUAGGCGGCUUUGCAAGUCGGAUGUGAAAGCCCUCGGCUCAACCAAGGAAGUGCAUCCGAAACUGCAGAGCUUGAGUACUUAAGAGGAUCGCGGAAUUCCCGGUGUAGAGGUGAAAUUCGUAGAUAUCAGGAGGAACACCGAUGGCGAAGGCAGGUCUCUGGGCCACUACUGACGCUGAGAAGCGAAAGCAUGGGGAGCGAACAGG
RNAcentral lists this ribosomal RNA (253 nucleotides) under uncultured bacterium. Its description in RNAcentral is "partial 16S ribosomal RNA". It matches the Rfam family "Bacterial small subunit ribosomal RNA", at positions 524 to 776 of the family's 1533-position model. The record is from RNAcentral.